GACGAACGCUGGCGGCAUGCCUAACACAUGCAAGUCGAACGAUUGCCUUCGGGUGUUAUUGGCGCCCGGGUUCGUAACCCGUUGGAAUCUGCCCUUGUAUUCGGCCUAUCACUUGGAGACGGCUUCUAAUACCUGUUGCUAUCACCAGAUCAAAGCUUUAUCGCCUUAGGAUGAGCGCGCGUUUGAUUACGUAUUUGGUUGGGUACACGCCUACCCAGCCGAGGGUCCAUGGCUGGUCUGACCGGAUGAUAAGCUACACUGGGACUGAGACACGGCCCAGACUCGUAGGAGAGGGAGGAGUGGGGAAUAUUGGACAAGGGGGGCAAGCGUGAUCAAGCAAUGCGGGGGGAGAGAGGAAGGGGGUAGGGUUGUAAAGCUGUUUGAGACGAGAAGAGAAUGACUGUAACGGGAGAAGAAGCACCGGCUAACUACGUG
RNAcentral lists this ribosomal RNA (435 nucleotides) under uncultured bacterium. Its description in RNAcentral is "partial 16S ribosomal RNA". It matches the Rfam family "Bacterial small subunit ribosomal RNA", at positions 28 to 507 of the family's 1533-position model. The record is from RNAcentral.